RNAcentral lists this ribosomal RNA (1353 nucleotides) under Triticum aestivum (bread wheat). Its description in RNAcentral is "partial small subunit ribosomal RNA". The record is from RNAcentral. Lineage: Eukaryota; Viridiplantae; Streptophyta; Magnoliopsida; Poales; Poaceae.
AUGCUUUCGCAACUUGACUUCAAAAUAUUUGGUUUGGAGACCAUCAAAGAUCAAUAUGUGCAUGAUGCUGAUUUUAAUGAUGUAAUGCAGAAUUGUAAAGAAGGAAGAAUGUGGAACAAGUUUGUUGUUAACGAUGGAUUUGUGUUUCGUGCUAACAAGCUAUGCAUUCCAGCUAGCUCCGUUCGUCUUUUGUUGUUGCAGGAGGCGCAUGGAGGAGGAUUAAUGGGACACUUUGGCGUGAAGAAGACGGAGGACGUACUUGCUACACAUUUCUUUUGGCCAAAGAUGAGACGGGAUGUUGAGCGUUUUAUUGCUCGCUGCACUACAUGUCAAAAAGCUAAGUCACGACUCAAUCCUCAUGGUUUAUAUAUGCCUUUGCCUGUACCUAGUGUUCCUUGGGAGGAUAUAUCUAUGGACUUUGUUUUAGGUUUACCUCGAACAAAGAAGGGGAGGGAUAGCAUAUUUGUUGUCGUGGAUAGAUUCUCGAAAAUGGCACACUUUAUACCAUGUCAUAAAAGCGAUGAUGCUGUUAAUGUUGCUGAUUUGUUCUUUCGUGAAAUUGUUCGCUUGCAUGGUGUGCCAAAUACUAUUGUUUCAGAUCGUGAUACUAAAUUUCUUAGCCACUUUUGGAGAUGUUUAUGGGCUAAGUUGGGGACUAAACUGCUUUUUAGUACUACUUGUCACCCCCAAACUGAUGGACAAACUGAAGUAGUCAAUAGAACGUUGUCUACUAUGCUUAGGGCUGUUUUGAAGAAUAAUAAGAAAAUGUGGGAGGAAUGCUUGCCUCAUAUUGAAUUUGCUUAUAAUCGUUCAUUGCAUUCUACUACUAAGAUGUGCCCUUUUGAAGUUGUGUAUGGUUUCCGACCUCGUGCACCUAUUGAUUUGUUGCCUCUUCCAUCUUCGGGGAAGGUUAAUUUUGAUGGUAAACAACGUGCUGAAUUGAUUUUAAAAAUGCAUGAGUUAACUAAGGAAAACAUUGAGCGCAUGAAUGCUAAAUAUAAACUUGCUGGAGAUAAGGGUAGAAAACAUGUUGUGUUUGCACCUGGAUAUCUUGUUUGGUUACAUUUGCGUAAGGAUAGAUUUCCUAAUUUGCGCAAAUCAAAGUUAAUGCCACGUGCUGAUGGUCCCUUUAAGGUGUUAGAGAAAAUAAAUGAUAAUGCAUAUAAACUUGAGCUGCCUGCAGAUUUUGGGGUUAGUCCCACUUUUAACAUUGCAGAUUUGAAGCCUUAUUUGGGUGAGGAAGAUGAACUUCCGUCGAGGACGACUUCAUUUCAAGAAGGGGAGGAUGAUGGACAUCAAUACAAUUGUUACACCCACAGCCCCUGCUGCUAUACAUACUGGACCAAUUACUAG